Molecule: transfer RNA, 76 nt
Filed under: Gammaproteobacteria bacterium
Lineage: Bacteria; Pseudomonadati; Pseudomonadota; Gammaproteobacteria
Also listed under: 1 other name
Description: tRNA-Lys
Rfam family: tRNA
About the family: Transfer RNA (tRNA) molecules are approximately 80 nucleotides in length. Their secondary structure includes four short double-helical elements and three loops (D, anti-codon, and T loops).
Source: RNAcentral
GGGUCGUUAGCUCAGUUGGUAGAGCAUCUGACUUUUAAUCAGGUGGUCGCAGGUUCGAAUCCUGCACGACCCACCA